UGGGGAAUCUUGGACAAUGGGGGCAACCCUGAUCCAGCGACGCCGCGUGGGUGAUGAAGGCCUUAGGGUUGUAAACCCCUUUCACCGGGGAGGAUGAUGACGUUACCCGGAGAAGAAGCACCGGCUAACUCCGUGCCAGCAGCCGCGGUAAUACGAAGGGGGCUAGCGUUGUUCGGAAUUACUGGGCGUAAAGCGCACGUAGGCGGACCAUUAAGUCAGGGGUGAAAUCCCGGGGCUCAACCUCGGAAUUGCCUUUGAUACUGGUGGUCUUGAGUCCGAGAGAGGUGAGUGGAACUCCGAGUGUAGAGGUGAAAUUCGUAGAUAUUCGGAAGAACACCAGUGGCGAAGGCGGCUCACUGGCUCGGUACUGACGCUGAGGUGCGAAAGCGUGGGGAGCAAACAGGAUUAGAUACCCCCGUAGUCC
Molecule: ribosomal RNA, 424 nt
Filed under: uncultured prokaryote
Description: bacterial SSU rRNA
Rfam family: Bacterial small subunit ribosomal RNA
Source: RNAcentral